UUUNNNNCCUGGCUCAGAUUGAACGCUGGCGGCAGGCUUAACACAUGCAAGUCGAACGGUAGCAGGAAGAAAGCUUGCUUUCUUUGCUGACGAGUGGCGGACGGGUGAGUAAUGCUUGGGAAUCUGGCUUAUGGAGGGGGAUAACUGUGGGAAACUGCAGCUAAUACCGCGUAUUCUCUGAGGAGGAAAGGGUGGGACCUUAGGGCCACCUGCCAUAAGAUGAGCCCAAGUGGGAUUAGGUAGUUGGUGGGGUAAAGGCCUACCAAGCCUGCGAUCUCUAGCUGGUCUGAGAGGAUGACCAGCCACACUGGAACUGAGACACGGUCCAGACUCCUACGGGAGGCAGCAGUGGGGAAUAUUGCGCAAUGGGGGGAACCCUGACGCAGCCAUGCCGCGUGAAUGAAGAAGGCCUUCGGGUUGUAAAGUUCUUUCGGUAAUGAGGAAGGGAUGUUGUUAAAUAGAUAGCAUCAUGACGUNAU
RNAcentral lists this ribosomal RNA (479 nucleotides) under Pasteurella multocida. RNAcentral describes it as "bacterial SSU rRNA". It matches the Rfam family "Bacterial small subunit ribosomal RNA", at positions 12 to 478 of the family's 1533-position model. Lineage: Bacteria; Pseudomonadati; Pseudomonadota; Gammaproteobacteria; Pasteurellales; Pasteurellaceae. The record is from RNAcentral.